Molecule: ribosomal RNA, 534 nt
Filed under: Triticum aestivum (bread wheat)
Lineage: Eukaryota; Viridiplantae; Streptophyta; Magnoliopsida; Poales; Poaceae
Description: partial small subunit ribosomal RNA
Source: RNAcentral
AUGGAGAAGUAUUUGAUAAAGAAAUCAGCAAAUGCCAACACCACCACCCAGCCCCAGGGGGCUAUCACCAGCAACAAUUCAAGUGGCAGUAGUAAUGCAUCAAGACCUGCAGGAAAACAUAAUUCUGCUGUGCCUGAACUAGUUGAUUUGAAUAAGCUCCCUCGGGAUCCAGCUAAAAGGAAGCGAAUGGCAGAUUAUCACCCCAACCAACGUGACGAGAUAAGAAGGAAGUAUUUGAUUUGGGGACCUAAUCAGCCCCGCAAAUUGGAAUUUCCAUACAGGGAGAUUGGGAAGAAGAAAAAGAAGAGGAGAUUCAAUCCGGAUUGGUAUGAUGAUUAUGCUUAUUGGCUAGAGUACAGCGAGAAGGAGCACAAAGCCUAUUGCUUAUGCUGCUAUUUGUUUAGGGACAACAUUAAAGACAACCACCAUGGGCACGAUGCAUUUGUAGUAGAAGGUUUCAACUGUUGGAACAAGACAGAGAGAUUUGUAACUCACGUCGGUGAUCGUAACAGCUUUCACAACAGAGCACUCUAG